GACGUAGGAGGCGAGCGUUGUCCGGAUUCAUUGGGCGUAAAGAGCACGCAGGCGGUUUGGCAAGUCGGAUGUGAAAUCCCGAAGCUUAACUUCGGGCGUGCAUCCGAAACUGCCCGACUAGAGGUAGGUAGGGGAGAUCGGAAUUCCGUGGUGUAGCGGUGAAAUGCGCAGAAUAUCAGGAGGAACACCGAUGGACGAAGGCAGGUCUC
This 209-nucleotide ribosomal RNA is filed under the name uncultured bacterium. Its description in RNAcentral is "partial 16S ribosomal RNA". It matches the Rfam family "Bacterial small subunit ribosomal RNA", at positions 524 to 729 of the family's 1533-position model. The record is from RNAcentral.